CCUACGGGUGGCAGCAGUGGGGAAUUUUGGACAAUGGGGGCAACCCUGAUCCAGCCAUGCCGCGUGAGUGAAGAAGGCCUUCGGGUUGUAAAGCUCUUUCGGCCGGGAAGAAAUCGCUCAAGCUAAUACCUUGGGUGGAUGACGGUACCGGAAGAAGAAGCACCGGCUAACUACGUGCCAGCAGCCGCGGUAAUACGUAGGGUACGAGCGUUAAUCGGAAUGUGCGGGCGUGAAGCCUGCGCAGGGGUGUGAAAUCCCCGGGCUUAACCUGGGAACUGCGUUUGUGACUGUGGGGAUCGAGUGCGGCAGAGGGGGGUGGAAUUCCACGUGUAGCAGUGAAAGGCGUAGAGAUGUGGAGGAACACCGAUGGCGAAGGCAGCCCCCUGGGUCGACACUGACGCUCAUGCACGAAAGCGUGGGGAGCAAACAGGAUUAGAUACCCCUGUAGUC
This 450-nucleotide ribosomal RNA is filed under the name uncultured bacterium. RNAcentral's name for it is "partial 16S ribosomal RNA". It matches the Rfam family "Bacterial small subunit ribosomal RNA", at positions 338 to 795 of the family's 1533-position model. The record is from RNAcentral.